RNAcentral lists this ribosomal RNA (492 nucleotides) under uncultured bacterium. Its description in RNAcentral is "partial 16S ribosomal RNA". It matches the Rfam family "Bacterial small subunit ribosomal RNA", at positions 29 to 507 of the family's 1533-position model. The record is from RNAcentral.
AGUGAACGCUGGCGGUAGGCCUAACACAUGCAAGUCGAACGGCAGCACAGUAAGAGCUUGCUCUGACGGGUGGAGGGUGGAGGACGGGUGAGGAAUACAUCGGAAUCUACUUUUUCGCGGGGGAUAACGUAGGGUAACUUACGCUAAUACCGCAUACUAACUACGGGUGAAAUACGGGGAUCUUCCGACCUUGCGCGAUUGUAUGAGCCGAUGUCGGAUUAGCUAGAUGGCGGGGUAAAGGCCCACCAAGGCGACGAUCCGUAGCUGGUCUGAGAGGAUGAUCAGCCACACUGGAACUGAGACACGGUCCAGACUCCUACGGGAGGCAGCAGUGGGGAAUAUUGGACAAUGGGCGCAAGCCUGAUCCAGCCAUACCGCGUGGGUGAAGAAGGCCUUCGGGUUGUAAAGCGCUUUUGUUGGGAAAGAAAAGCAGCAGGUUAAUACCCCGCUGUUCUGACGGUACCCUAAGAAUAAGCACCGGCUAACUUCGUG